GAUGAACGCUGGCGGUAUGCCUAACACAUGCAAGUCGUACGAGAGUUUUUAACUCUAGUGGCGGACGGGUGAGUAACACGUGAGAAUUUGCCUUUAGGAGGGGGAUAACAAUUGGAAACGAAUGUUAAUACCCCAUAUGCUUUUGAGUGAAAUGGAUUUUAUCCGCCUAGAGAGAAGCUCGCGGCUGAUUAGCUUGUUGGUAAGGUAAGAGCUUACCAAGGCGACGAUCAGUAUCUGGUUUGAGAGGACGAUCAGACACACUGGAACUGAGACACGGUCCAGACUCCUACGGGAGGCAGCAGUGGGGAAUUUUCCGCAAUGGGCGAAAGCCUGACGGAGCAAUACCGCGUGAGGGAAGAAUGCCUAUGGGUUGUAAACCUCUUUUUUCAGGGAGGAAUAAAAUGACGUGUACCUGAAGAAUAAGCAUCGGCUAACUCCGUG
This 441-nucleotide ribosomal RNA is filed under the name uncultured bacterium. RNAcentral describes it as "bacterial SSU rRNA". It matches the Rfam family "Bacterial small subunit ribosomal RNA", at positions 28 to 507 of the family's 1533-position model. The record is from RNAcentral.